Molecule: ribosomal RNA, 474 nt
Filed under: uncultured bacterium
Lineage: Bacteria
Description: bacterial SSU rRNA
Rfam family: Bacterial small subunit ribosomal RNA
Source: RNAcentral
AGGACGAACGCUGGCGGCGUGCUUCAUACAUGCAAGUCGAACGAGAAGCCAGGGCUUGCUCUGGUGGAAAGUGGCGGACGGGUGAGUAACACGUAGGAAACCUGCCUUUUAGUGGGGGACAACAGAGGGAAACUUCUGCUAAUACCCCAUAUGAGCGUAGCUGAAAUGCUAUUCUUGAAAACUCCGGUGCUAAAAGAUGGGCCUGCGCCUGAUUAGCUAGUUGGCGGUGUAAUGGACCACCAAGGCGACGAUCAGUAGCUGGUUUGAGAGGAUGAUCAGCCACAAUGGGACUGAGACACGGCCCAUACUCCUACGGGAGGCAGCAGUAGGGAAUUUUGCGCAAUGGGCGAAAGCCCUGACGCAGCAACGCCGCGUGAACGUAGAAGCCCUUCGGGGUGUAAAGUUCUGUCAGAGGGGACGAAUUUUGACGGUACCCUCAGAGGAAGCACCGGCUAACUCCGUGCCAGCCGCCGC